RNAcentral lists this unclassified non-coding RNA (865 nucleotides) under Hevea brasiliensis (rubber tree). Lineage: Eukaryota; Viridiplantae; Streptophyta; Magnoliopsida; Malpighiales; Euphorbiaceae. The record is from RNAcentral.
AUCACUUCCAACAGGAAUAAUUGCCCCCUUCUCUGCAUCCAAGUUUGUAUGAUGAGGCUCAUCCUUGUCAGAUACACUCUGUUUAUGAUCAGGGUAGAUAGCUGCAAAAGAUUGCCGACUUGGUCGCUUCCAAACCCAAUGAAUCACAGAGGACCUUUUCGCGGGAAAUUUAUCAGGUGCCACUAAGUUCUGAAGAAACACUCGUCGAAGCAGUGUCCAGCGAGACUUUGACUCCCGGACUUCAAUAGGCUUAACAGGCACCAAAGCCAUGUAAUUGUUCUCUGUUGUACAAGAGUUUUCUUCCACAACUUUCCUAGGCAUUGAGCUCAGAGGACUUUUGUUCAGAGUCUUCCUCCUCUUGAAUCUUGAUCUGGGCAUAUCUGAGUCACUAGAUUCAUCUCCAUCCAAAGCACUAGCUUCCCUCUGAUAAACAAUCUUGCCAUUGUCAACAGCAAUAACAGAGAUGUUCUUUGUCAGUUUUCUAGCACAGUAUUUUGCAAGUGACACUGAUGACCGAAUGGCAUGAUGGCUGCCUGAAGUCCCAAUAAUCAAAUUUAUAGCACUUUCCAAUUUCGCCUCGCGAGCAAGAACUUUACGAACUGGUGAUCCUCGACAGACUUUAAGCUUCAAAUGCACCUGCUUUAAAUUGCAGAAGCCCUCAUAAGCAGACAGCAUCGAGUCAAAUGACUUCACCAGUGAAAGAGGUUCUGAUUUAUCAGAAUUUGGAUCGAUAACAUGUACAGCCACUACAUGAUCUCCAGUCUGAGCAACCUUAACCAAAGCCCAAGUAAGCAACUCUUUACUUCUGGAAUCUAACUUCACUCCCACCACUGCCACCACCCUUCCACCCACAUCUCCGGCGCCG